RNAcentral lists this ribosomal RNA (253 nucleotides) under uncultured bacterium. RNAcentral's name for it is "partial 16S ribosomal RNA". It matches the Rfam family "Bacterial small subunit ribosomal RNA", at positions 524 to 776 of the family's 1533-position model. The record is from RNAcentral.
UACGGAGGAUGCAAGCGUUAUCCGGAAUGAUUGGGCGUAAAGCGUCUGUAGGUGGUUUUAUAAGUCUACUGUCAAAGACCAGGGCUUAACCUUGGGCAGGCAGUGGAAACUAUAAGGCUUGAGUACGGUAGGGGCAGAGGGAAUUCCCGGUGUAGCGGUGAAAUGCGUAGAGAUCGGGAAGAACACCAACGGCGAAAGCACUCUGCUGGGCCGAAACUGACACUGAGAGACGAAAGCUAGGGGAGCAAAUGGG